RNAcentral lists this transfer RNA (71 nucleotides) under Loxodonta africana (African savanna elephant). It matches the Rfam family "tRNA". From Rfam's summary of the family: Transfer RNA (tRNA) molecules are approximately 80 nucleotides in length. Their secondary structure includes four short double-helical elements and three loops (D, anti-codon, and T loops). The record is from Rfam by way of RNAcentral. Lineage: Eukaryota; Metazoa; Chordata; Mammalia; Proboscidea; Elephantidae.
ACAGUGGUGGUUCAAUGGUAGAAUUCUCACCUUCCAUGCAGGAGACGCAGGUUUGAUUCCUGGCCAGUGCA